UUUUCUCCGAGAGGUGACAGGCAGUAAUUGACAGGCGCAGAAGAGAGCCGUGUCACAGUUUGAGGAAAAUCUCCAUUCAAGCACGCUACAGAAAUGUACAUCUCCCGAAUAUUGUUUGCAGACAGGCAGCCUGACAGAUGAAAAUGAAGUGCGCGCGAUGUGCUCCCGCAACAGAGGCAGUGCUCAACAAAAGAACAGGAGAUAAAAAGAAAGGAGUAAUCUGAGAAUGAGUUUUCAGCCAUUGUGUUAUAUUAAUCAUUUCUGGCCCCCGUUUCCCAGAACUGAAACCCAGGUGUGUCGGCGAGGCGCAGGAAACCGGCGGCCGCGCUGAGGGAUGCUGGGAAACGACAGGGUGCUGACGAGGGCCGGCGGGGAGCCAUCAGAGCCGGGCCCCAGAGACACCCCCCACGCUGGGGCCUGCCGCUUAGGGGGCCCCCCAAUCUCUCCAGACACCAGAAUCAUUUCAAUGCCCCGCCUACAGGGCUGAGUGCGGUAAAGUGCUGAUGUUAAGGGCUCGACAGCUCUCUCUUUUUCACUGACGGCUUAAGAUUCACACGAACACACCGGCUUGUUUCUGGUCUGGUAACCACACACAGCAGGCUACACACUCAGAAGUGACAGUGGAGGUACAUUUUUGCUCUUCGAGCACCAAAUUUCACAAAUGUGGUCCCCUGAAACUGUAGUAAUGUUCUCUUUGGGUACAAAUGUCUUUGAAGCAAAAAAAUUAAUUAAAUAUUGCUGGCUAGGGCUACAUUUGUGUACCUAAAGGGUACUGCCCCAGCGACAAGCAUUUGUACCUUUUUAGGCUCUUUUCCUAGGAAUUUCAGUCCGCUUGCCAGAAUUUGCCUUUCAGGCCAAUAUCAAACAAAUGUCAAGACAUACAGUAAGCAAGCAAAUUACCCAUACAUCAUUAACGAGCUUGAGAACUAGGCUGGUACAGUUCUUCACAUGAUUAAAUGGCCUCAGUUCUUUGUGAUGGACUCUCCCUUUAAAUCAAUGGAUUUUUGUUAGGAGCCAAUCGGCACCAAAAAUCUGGGCGUAUAUUCAAAGGAAAGACAUAUUUUGUUGGAUCACAUCCUGCCUGUUCUGCAUUCACUGAUUUGUUAAUCCUAAAGGUAUUUACAUGAAAGGAUACUGCUUGCCAGGAGAGUGGCAUGCAUGCCAACAGUGAGGAGUGUAUUGACAGUGGAAAUGUCUGCAACACUAAAACAUUCGCUAUAUAGCAGCUCUGGGGUGUUCACACUUACUGGCACAUUAAGGGCCGAAUAAAAUGGGUCCUAACUAUUAUUGUUAAUAUUGCGGUAGGAGAUAUCCAUAAAAAGGUCUGAAGCAAGACAAUUCAUGUGUGGCCAAUUAACCACGAAGCCAGGUACAAGCAGUUAGGCAACCACGAGAAAAAGAAAACUAGAAAAAAAUGUACAGAUGAGGAAAUAAAUAGAGAGUGUGGUCAAUGCUGUACAUCACAACAGCGUAUUACAGCAUAGGAAUGUGAGCAAUGCAGAGGAGAGAAAUUUGGUGUGGCAUUAUAAACAAAAUUAAUUUAUUUGGCAAAGCAAAAGAAAGAGCAGAAAGAUGGUGUGAUGUUAGGCAGAAUAUAAAGAAAAUACACAAGUGCUGGCCCAACCAAGAACAGAAUAUUAACCCUGACAGAACAGCGAGAACAAUCCCAGCAAAAUGAGUAAGUUGUGGGAGGGGAAGGAAUAAAUGGAAGAACAAGCAAAAUUGUACUCAAGAUUUACAGCCAUUUUAUACCCUACUGAAGGCACACACAACAAGACAUUCAAGAACCGUAUUUAUAGUCUACUGAGGACAAGUAGUUCUGCAUGCUUUCAAUAAAACAAACAUAAUUUUCUUAUUAUAUCCAAAAAUGAUUGGGAGGGGGUUCGGAGAAAAUCAUAAAGUAUAUGUAAAUCACUGGGACAAAGCGUCCAGCACAGUACAAAAACCAGAUUGAGCAAUACCUGCAGCUGCACGCUACUUUUAAAAGCUCAGAAUUCACAGGAACGCGAGGAAGUCGAGAGCAACUUCACUGUGGGCGACAGGGACUGUGAUCAUCGGAGCAUGUCUCCAGUUCCUUUUUCACAUCCGGCAGUAGAGUGAUUAUUGUGUGGCUGCGUAACCUGGCUGUAUCGACUCGCUGUUCGCCGUUCGGUUAACUGAAUGGGGGGUUAUUCUCAGAUGAAAACCCUCUCCUGUCUUAUUCUGUUUUUGCCUUUGUCCUUUGUCUCGUCUCCUGGCUCCGAUUACUGCUGCCAGGUUUGGGAGAGAGAACUCCUUAUUAACAUGCCUUUCAUAGAACGCAAACUCCACUGUAUCAGCGCUCCGCAAAUUACCGCCUGCUUUCAAGAGUUCCUAAAAUCUAUACGCAAAGAGAAGAGUUGCAAUUAAGCCAUUCUUUAGAAAAUGAGAUUGAAUACUUAACCUCAUUUACUUCUCUAUGCUAUUUUAGUGCUUUGUCCCAGGUAUACGUAAGCAUGGAAAGACUCAACUACUAUACUAAAAGGAAUAAUAGAGAUUUUGUCCCAUUGUCACCAAUUAGAAAAUCCAACACACAUACCAGAACCUUGGAGUGACUGCUUUUAAGCAUGAAAAGCAAUUUGUUAGUAAAUCUGGUCCCUGGUUCUCUUUUUAAAGAAGAGUUUCAGUUUUGAGCUGUUUUUUACAUUACUCAAUGAAUUUAUUUGAUUAUAAUAAUAUACUGUGAUAUACUCCACAAUGGAACUAAGUACUUCAAGUAAAAAUACAUCAUGUUUAAGUUUGCUUCCUGCAAACUCAUGAACUCAUUCUUGAACUUAACAAAACAAGAAAUUUGACUAGGCGUGCCCAAACUUUUGCAUAGUACUGUACUGCAUGCAUGCAAGAAUCUAUCGCUAUUUGCCUGCCUUAAGGGGGAUUACAACAUUUUUUAUACAGAAAUACAUACCGAAUAUAACAUUUCUGAUGGAAUUCCCCUUUGACUCAUCGACAAAACAAUUCUGUGGGUCUGGGAUACCGUGCCUUACAGCAGUAUAUGACUUAUAGAAAUAGAUUCAGUUGUGGAUGAAUAAAGCCCUGGACAAAAAAAUAUUGAGGAACGGCAGCAAGAUUGACAUCUUGGUUCUGUAUGGGCACAAUAUAUCAAUAUCAAGUCUAAAAAAAAAAGAUUGUCAUGACAUGAAUUUAUUUUAAUGGGCCUCGCUCCGUAAUAAAAGAUGCAUAGGAAAUAUGCCAGCAGCACCAUAACUCAACCCUGCAGCCAGCGCGAGUUUCUGUCAUUACGGAUAAAGGGAACUCUCGCCCUUAAAACCCGAACAUUUCCCCGCUUUCGGCUCCCCUGUCACCGCCCAAUUUGCAUUUGAAAGGCAUUACUGUGCGGGAACGAUUUGCAUUUUUUUGGAUCACUUAUAUCAAAGCUUCUCAAAGGCUCCUGGAUUGAAUCGCUGGCCCUUCAUAGGACAUGUGCUGGAAACUACAGAGGCAGGGUGCCAGGAAGGUGAUGGAAGCACUGCUUUUCAAAGCAUCUAAAAUCUGGAAUGAAUUCAGCAAU
Conger conger (European conger) is the source of this 3526-nucleotide long non-coding RNA. RefSeq lists it as uncharacterized. The record is from RefSeq and is a predicted model, not a curated record. The transcript has 3 exons. NCBI's taxonomy places the organism in Eukaryota, Metazoa, Chordata, Actinopteri, Anguilliformes, Congridae.